This 253-nucleotide ribosomal RNA is filed under the name uncultured bacterium. RNAcentral's name for it is "partial 16S ribosomal RNA". It matches the Rfam family "Bacterial small subunit ribosomal RNA", at positions 524 to 776 of the family's 1533-position model. The record is from RNAcentral.
UACGGAGGGUGCGAGCGUUGUCCGGAAUCACUGGGCGUAAAGGGCGCGUAGGCGGCUCAUGAAGGCUGUGGUGAAAGUCCGGGGCUCAACCUCGGAUCGGCCGUGGCGACUCGUGGGCUGGAGCACUGUAGAGGCGGGUGGAAUUCCGGGUGUAGCGGUGGAAUGCGUAGAGAUCCGGAAGAACACCAGUGGCGAAGGCGGCCCGCUGGGCAGUGGCUGACGCUGAAGCGCGACAGCGUGGGGAGCGAACGGA